AGUGAACGCUGGCGGUAGGCCUAACACAUGCAAGUCGAACGGCAGCACAGUAAGAGCUUGCUCUUACGGGUGGCGAGUGGCGGACGGGUGAGGAAUACAUCGGAAUCUACUUUUUCGUGGGGGAUAACGUAGGGAAACUUACGCUAAUACCGCAUACGACCUACGGGUGAAAGCAGGGGAUCUUCGGACCUUGCGCGAUUGAAUGAGCCGAUGUCGGAUUAGCUAGUUGGCGGGGUAAAGGCCCACCCAGGCGACGAUCCGUAGCUGGUCUGAGAGGAUGGUCAGCCACACUGGAACGGAGACACGGUCCAGAGUCCUACGGGAGGCAGCAGUGGGGAAUAUUGGACAGUGGGCGCAAGCCUGGUCCAGCCAUACCGCGUGGGUGAAGAAGGCCUUCGGGUUGUAAAGCCCUUUUGUUGGGAAAGAAAAGCAGCAGGUUAAUACCCCGCUGUUCUGACGGUACCCAAAGAAUAAGCACCGGCUAACUUCGUG
RNAcentral lists this ribosomal RNA (492 nucleotides) under uncultured bacterium. Its description in RNAcentral is "partial 16S ribosomal RNA". It matches the Rfam family "Bacterial small subunit ribosomal RNA", at positions 29 to 507 of the family's 1533-position model. The record is from RNAcentral.